RNAcentral lists this ribosomal RNA (253 nucleotides) under uncultured bacterium. RNAcentral describes it as "partial 16S ribosomal RNA". It matches the Rfam family "Bacterial small subunit ribosomal RNA", at positions 524 to 776 of the family's 1533-position model. The record is from RNAcentral.
UACGUAGGUGGCAAGCGUUGUCCGGAUUUACUGGGCGUAAAGAGCGCGCAGGCGGUCGUUCAAGUCGCGUGUGAAAGCCCCCGGCUCAACUGGGGAGGGUCACGCGAUACUGAUCGACUCGAAGGCAGGAGAGGGUAGUGGAAUUCCCGGUGUAGCGGUGAAAUGCGUAGAGAUGUGGAGGAACACCAGUGGCGAAGGCGACUCUUUGGCCUGUAACUGACACUGAGGCGCGAAAGCGUGGGGAGCAAACAGG